CCUACGGGAGGCAGCAGUGGGGAAUAUUGGACAAUGGGCGCAAGCCUGAUCCAGCAAUGCCGCGUGAGUGAUGAAGGCCUUAGGGUUGUAAAGCUCUUUUACCCGUGAUGAUAAUGACAGUAGCGGGAGAAUAAGCCCCGGCUAACUCCGUGCCAGCAGCCGCGGUAAU
Molecule: ribosomal RNA, 169 nt
Filed under: uncultured bacterium
Lineage: Bacteria
Description: partial 16S ribosomal RNA
Rfam family: Bacterial small subunit ribosomal RNA
Source: RNAcentral